Molecule: long non-coding RNA, 1089 nt
Organism: Stegostoma tigrinum
Lineage: Eukaryota; Metazoa; Chordata; Chondrichthyes; Orectolobiformes; Stegostomatidae
Exons: 3
Source: RefSeq, a predicted model, not a curated record
GUGAUGUUUAACUUUCGUGUGCUACUGCAGUUUGUAUGAUAAAGGUGCUCUCACAAUGCUCCAUUUGAGAAGUUACAGAUCAUUCAUCUAGCGAUACUGAAGAGCUAAUGGUGAUAUUACAAGUGGACUUUCAGGUAGGAAGCUCAAUAAUUGUAACACCAAACUCUGACAGAAUUACUCAAUUCAUCAGGACCUGGAUAUUCGCAUUGUGUAUUUCCACAGUUUUACUUCUGCACUAUUCUUAGUCUUUCAGAGGGAUCGAAAGGUUGUGUUCCAGAUCUAUACAAUGACUGUCCUUCCUCGCUGGCUCCCCCACCUCUCUCUUUUGGUAGUUUUAUGCAAACACUGACUGGAUCCCUUACCUGGAGGAUAUUUAUGAAUGAAUUUGUUCUAAUGGUGAUCCAGCAUUUUCCCCAAGUAUCGCUCCACACAUGCCCAGAGAAUUUCUCAGUUUCACAAUCUGUGUCCUUCUGGUUUCUUACUCGCUACACUUAACUUUCUGUUUGAAAGUAUAGUCUGCAGUUGGAGAAUUUAAACAGGUCCACAUCCAGGUCUGACGGUCACUUUGUUUAUCACAACCCAAUUAUCUCAGGAUUUUGAACAAUGAAGGAAAAAGCAGCACUCACAUUGGGGAGAAAUGCACAUGGUGUGUGUGUUGAAGAGUCUGUGAAGAUUCAUCUGAAAUGUCCGAACACCAGUGCAGUGACACUGGGAGACAGUGUGGAAAUGUGCAGAUUGCAGGAAGGAAUUUCUUCAUCCAUCCCAGCUAGAAACUGACCACCAGAGUCACACUGGAGAGAGACCAUUGACCUGUUCUGCAUGAGGGAAAGGCUUUGCUGAUUCGAAUUCCCCGCUGAUACACCAGCGAGUUCACUCUGGGGAGAUACCUUUCAUGAGUUCUGAGUGUGGGAAGGGAUUCAUUGUCAUCCAAACUGUUAACACACCAGUGAGUUCACAGACAACCACAGUUGAAGAACUUUGCUGUCACUCUCACUAUCAAAUGAACCAUGGUUUUGGGCUGUUUGUACAGAUGUUACCGAUCCCUGCUCAAUUAAAGGUGCUGGUAUUGUGAAUAAAAUGUCACACUAA